CCUACGGGAGGCUGCAGUGGGGAAUAUUGCACAAUGGGCGCAAGCCUGAUGCAGCCAUGCCGCGUGUGUGAAGAAGGCCUUCGGGUUGUAAAGCACUUUCAGCGGGGAGGAAGGCGGUGAGGUUAAUAACCUCAUCGAUUGACGUUACCCGCAGAAGAAGCACCGGCUAACUCCGUGCCAGCAGCCGCGGUAAUACGGAGGGUGCAAGCGUUAAUCGGAAUUACUGGGCGUAAAGCGCACGCAGGCGGUCUGUCAAGUCGGAUGUGAAAUCCCCGGGCUCAACCUGGGAACUGCAUUCGAAACUGGCCGGCUAGAGUCUUGUAGAGGGGGGUAGAAUUCCAGGUGUAGCGGUGAAAUGCGUAGAGAUCUGGAGGAAUACCGGUGGCGAAGGCGGCCCCCUGGACAAAGACUGACGCUCAGGUGCGAAAGCGUGGGGGGCAAACAGGAUUAGAUACCCCUGUAGUC
RNAcentral lists this ribosomal RNA (465 nucleotides) under uncultured Klebsiella sp. Its description in RNAcentral is "bacterial SSU rRNA". It matches the Rfam family "Bacterial small subunit ribosomal RNA", at positions 338 to 795 of the family's 1533-position model. The record is from RNAcentral. Lineage: Bacteria; Pseudomonadati; Pseudomonadota; Gammaproteobacteria; Enterobacterales; Enterobacteriaceae.